RNAcentral lists this transfer RNA (72 nucleotides) under Chloropicon primus. RNAcentral's name for it is "tRNA-Phe". It matches the Rfam family "tRNA". From Rfam's summary of the family: Transfer RNA (tRNA) molecules are approximately 80 nucleotides in length. Lineage: Eukaryota; Viridiplantae; Chlorophyta; Chloropicophyceae; Chloropicales; Chloropicaceae. The record is from RNAcentral.
GUUCGGGUAGCUCAGCGGUAGAGCAAAGGAUUGAAAAUCCUUGGGUCGGUGGUUCAAUCCCACUCCUGGACA